Chelonia mydas (Green sea turtle) is the source of this 480-nucleotide long non-coding RNA. RefSeq lists it as uncharacterized. The transcript has 3 exons. The record is from RefSeq and is a predicted model, not a curated record. Lineage: Eukaryota; Metazoa; Chordata; Testudines; Cheloniidae.
CAGUUCUGACACAAUCUCCUGCUCCGAUUCAUGUCUGUGUAACAGGAUGCAGGGGCAUUACCAGCAAACAAGGGGUUAAUCUCAGUUCAGAUGCUCCCUUACCUGCACAGGUGCUUAGGAUAAGGACUAUAAAUUGGUUGCUUUAAAAGCACUGGGGUUGAGUGUAUGUUGGGGAAGAUUGGUCAGUUUGUCUGUAGUUGUCAAGCUAGUUUCAGCCUCAAGACCAGAAAACUGGCACAAACUACAUACUCCCCUUUCCACAUGAAGUUCAGCUUCCACGUGAAAACAUGCUAAGAGAACUGAAGUUCACUGGGAGCCUUCCAUCUUUUUCAGAUGAUGUCACAAGUAAAACACCUCAUGGCAGGUCAUAUAUGAUGAUUAUUCCUAUUUUCCAGACAAGAAAACAGAAGCAUAAGUUGGUUCAGGACUACAUUUUUAAAAGUGAGCAUCACUCUUUUUGGGAGCCCAGCUGGAGCCACU